UACGUAGGGUGCAAGCGUUGUCCGGAAUUAUUGGGCGUAAAGGGCUCGUAGGCGGUCCAUCGCGUCGGGAGUGAAAAGCUGGGGCUCAACCCCAGUCCUGCUUCCGAUACGGGUGGACUAGAGGUAGGUAGGGGAGAACGGAAUUCCUGGUGUAGCGGUGAAAUGCGCAGAUAUCAGGAGGAACACCGGUGGCGAAGGCGGGUCUCUGGGCCAAAACUGACGCUGAGGAGCGAAAGCGUGGGGAGCGAACAGG
Molecule: ribosomal RNA, 253 nt
Filed under: uncultured bacterium
Lineage: Bacteria
Description: partial 16S ribosomal RNA
Rfam family: Bacterial small subunit ribosomal RNA
Source: RNAcentral